Non-coding RNA from Triticum aestivum (bread wheat), 125 nucleotides. The record is from Rfam. NCBI's taxonomy places the organism in Eukaryota, Viridiplantae, Streptophyta, Magnoliopsida, Poales, Poaceae.
AUAGUACUCCCUCCGUCCGAAAAUACUUGUCGGAGAAAUGGAUAAAAAUGGAUGUAUCUAGAACUAAAAUGCAUCUAGCUACAUCCAUUUCUCCGACAAGUAUUUCCGGAUGAAGGGAGUAUCAU